GGGUGGCCCGAGGCGGCGAUUCCCUGGCCAGCAGUGGGACACGGGGGGCGGGCAUGUCCACAGGCUUUCUGGGUGGGCCCGAAGGCCCCUGGUGUCGGGGAGCCAUGGGCCUUUGUGCGGGAUCGCAGCCCCCCCGAGAGGCUCCCCGCCUACCGCAGGCCUCGGGGAGCAGGUAUUGCGGGGGUCAGCUGCGCCACUGGAGGCCUGUUCCGGGGGUAUCAACAUAAACUUCAAAUGCAACCAUCUUUUUUCUAGGUCAGUAUUAUAUGUUACACAUUAUUCCAUGUUACUAAACCGAAUUGGUGGUGGUGUUCUUAGUCAAGGUAUAAUUUAUGUACAGUAAAAACCGGCCUUUUAAAUGGAUAGUUUUGUAAGUUUUGACACCCAGUUCAGUAAGUUUUGACACCCACCACCACAUUCAAAAUAUAAAACAGUUGCAUUAUCCUCUUUGUAGUCAAUGGGAUUGUCUCAGUGGUUUAAGGAUUCUUUGCCAUAAAGGGAAGGAAAGUUGAUCUCUAACAAAGGAAAGCGAUACCUGAUCACAAAAUAGGUACCGGGCACGUUGGCUUUAACUUUUCUGUGCAAGGGGUCAAACUCAGUGCAACCUGUGAGAAAGUUGGUAGAUCUCUAACUUGUGGGCAGCUCCUCCUCAAAGAUUAAUGGCCUGGGGUCUCUAGCAAUGGAGACAGGCAUGUUUAUUUUGCUUCACUAAACUGCAGCGGCUAUAGAGGAAGAAAGUGGAGUGGAAAGGCUUAAACGUUAAAAUCACUGAUAUUAGGAGAUCCAGAAAUAACUUGGAUAAUGGUAAAAACAGAAACCCUGGGACAGUCGAGUCUUUCUAGAAAGAACUAAGGGAUGUCCCUGGGCAAAAUGAGAGCUAGGAACCCUACACAUAAAGAGAAGUUGUUCUUUGAAGGGACAGGGCAAGAUCCUGGCUAUGUCUGGGCUGCAGUUGCCUCUUGACAAAGAGCAGAACUUGUGGCUACAAUUUGUUCUGGGAUCUGGCAAAAGGCUGUUUGAGUGAAACCCGAAUGGAUGGCAACUUUCCAAACUGCAAAGCAAUGGAAGAAAAGUCCUCUGUUCCCUGAAGUUCUCACUUCCCUGCAAUUCAUGCUUCUUUAUUAGAGUCGGCUUUGAAUGGUUAAAUGGCAAUAAGAACAGAUCUGGUGCCAUGUCCUGGAACUUUUGGGAAGUGAAUAUACCCAAUGAAAUACCAUUUUUUAAAAU
RNAcentral lists this long non-coding RNA (1227 nucleotides) under Neogale vison (American mink). RNAcentral describes it as "Neovison vison (American mink) lncRNA (ENSNVIG00000000348.1)". The record is from RNAcentral. Lineage: Eukaryota; Metazoa; Chordata; Mammalia; Carnivora; Mustelidae.